Molecule: ribosomal RNA, 220 nt
Filed under: uncultured prokaryote
Description: partial 16S ribosomal RNA
Rfam family: Bacterial small subunit ribosomal RNA
Source: RNAcentral
UACGUAGGGUGCAAGCGUUAAUCGGAAUUACUGGGCGUAAAGCGUGCGCAGGCGGUUUUGUAAGUCUGUUGUGAAAUCCCCGGGCUCAACCUGGGAAUGGCAAUGGAGACUGCAAGGCUAGAGUUUGGCAGAGGGGGGUAGAAUUCCACGUGUAGCAGUGAAAUGCGUAGAUAUGUGGAGGGACACCGAUGGCGAAGGCAGCCCCCUGGGUCAAAACUGA